Molecule: unclassified non-coding RNA, 23 nt
Filed under: synthetic construct
Description: RNA (5'-R(*GP*UP*GP*UP*GP*UP*GP*UP*GP*UP*GP*UP*GP*UP*GP*UP*GP*UP*GP*UP*GP*UP*G)-... from synthetic construct (PDB 7MKT, chain A)
Source: RNAcentral
GUGUGUGUGUGUGUGUGUGUGUG